Molecule: ribosomal RNA, 279 nt
Filed under: uncultured archaeon
Lineage: Archaea
Description: partial 16S rRNA
Rfam family: Archaeal small subunit ribosomal RNA
Source: RNAcentral
GAGACCCACGCCAACAGUUGCCAGCAUGUCCUCCGGGAUGGUGGGGACACUGUUGGGACCGCCUCUGCUAAAGAGGAGGAAGGAAUGGGCAACGGUAAGUCAGCAUGCCCCGAAUUAUCCGGGCUACACGCGGGCUACAAUGGUCAGGACAAUGGGUAUCGACACCGAGAGGUGAAGGCAAUCUCUUAAACCUGUCCUUAGUUCGGAUUGUGGGCUGCAACUCGCCCACAUGAAGCUGGAAUCCGUAGUAAUCGCGUCUCAAAAUGGCGCGGUGAAUAU